GAUGAAGAACGUAGCGAAAUGCGAUACGUAGUGUGAAUUGCAGAAUUCAGUGAAUCAUCGAAUCUUUGAACGCACAUUGCACCUCUCGGUAUUCCGGGAGGUAUGCCUGUUCGAGCGUCAUUUGUACCCUCAAGCUCUGCUUGGUGUUGGGUGUUUGUUCCGCCUCUGUGUGUGAACUCGCCUCAAAACAAUUGGCAGCCGGCGUACUUGUUUCGGAGCGCAUCACAUUUUGCGAUCCAGAUCAACGUACAGCGGCAUCCAAGAAGCCUUAUUUAACGCUCUUGACCUCGGAUCAGGUAGGGAUACCCGCUGAACUUAAGCAUAUCAAUAAGCGGAGGA
Molecule: unclassified non-coding RNA, 339 nt
Filed under: soil metagenome
Description: partial contains 5.8S ribosomal RNA, internal transcribed spacer 2, and large subunit ribosomal RNA
Rfam family: 5.8S ribosomal RNA (bases 1-120)
Source: RNAcentral